GAAUGAUUUGUUUUUGCUUUUGGUUUUGGCAUUAUACCAAGUUUGUGCUUGAAGUUCCUACACAAUGCGGGAGAAGACAUAAUUAUAAUGAAAGUAGGUAACAAAUAAAUAAUACAAACAAAUAAUUAUAAUGAAAGUAGAUAACAAAUAAAUAAUACAAACAAAUAAUUAUAAUGAAAGUAGCUAACAAAUAAUUAUAAUGUAAAUUUGGGUAUAGUACAAACAAAUAAAUAAUAUAUUGUUACCCGAUCCGCUAAAUUUUCCCCACUUCAAAGAUUACUACUAGCUUGUGCCAAGGCAUCUCUCCACACACUAAAUGAUUGGCUAAGUAAUUUCCAACGACUAGACAUCGAUUCUUUGGUUCUUUUCCACCAAUUUUCUCAAGAAAAUUGGUAUGAAUAAGACUCCAUAUUUAUCGCAACUGCAUCUCAUUACCCGUAAUCAGAUCAUGAGUAACUUCAACCAAGCUAGUACACAAUGAAACAUCUUCAAUAAGCGUCCAAUUCGUACCUGCAUCAGUAGUCAUUUUGUUGGAAAAAAAUUGGAUUGAAACUUUGAGAAAAAAGAUAGGAAUGUGGUUGAAAGUAGUUGAGAAAAUAUGAAAUUGUGGUGUAAGGUUGAAGAUAAUGAGAAGGUAUUUAUAGAAAAGUAAAAUCUUUUUUUUU
Molecule: long non-coding RNA, 665 nt
Filed under: Malus domestica (apple)
Lineage: Eukaryota; Viridiplantae; Streptophyta; Magnoliopsida; Rosales; Rosaceae
Description: long non-coding RNA (MDOM_LNC012587)
Source: RNAcentral